This 547-nucleotide ribosomal RNA is filed under the name uncultured bacterium. Its description in RNAcentral is "partial 16S ribosomal RNA". It matches the Rfam family "Bacterial small subunit ribosomal RNA", at positions 355 to 895 of the family's 1533-position model. The record is from RNAcentral.
UGGGGAAUUUUGGACAAUGGGCGAAAGCCUGAUCCAGCAAUGCCGCGUGUGUGAAGAAGGCCUUCGGGUUGUAAAGCACUUUUGUCCGGAAAGAAAUGGCUCUGGUUAAUACCUGGGGUCGAUGACGGUACCGGAAGAAUAAGGACCGGCUAACUACGUGCCAGCAGCCGCGGUAAUACGUAGGGUCCAAGCGUUAAUCGGAAUUACUGGGCGUAAAGCGUGCGCAGGCGGUUGUGCAAGACCGAUGUGAAAUCCCCGAGCUUAACUUGGGAAUUGCAUUGGUGACUGCACGGCUAGAGUGUGUCAGAGGGGGGUAGAAUUCCACGUGUAGCAGUGAAAUGCGUAGAGAUGUGGAGGGAAUACCGAUGGCGAAGGCAGCCCCCUGGGAUAACACUGACGCUCAUGCACGAAAGCGUGGGGAGCAAACAGGAUUAGAUACCCUGGUAGUCCACGCCCUAAACGAUGUCAACUAGUUGUUGGGAUUCAUUUCCUUAGUAACGUAGCUAACGCGUGAAGUUGACCGCCUGGGGAGUACGGUCGCAAGAUU